Bombus terrestris (buff-tailed bumblebee) is the source of this 130-nucleotide long non-coding RNA. RefSeq lists it as uncharacterized. The transcript has 2 exons. The record is from RefSeq and is a predicted model, not a curated record. NCBI's taxonomy places the organism in Eukaryota, Metazoa, Arthropoda, Insecta, Hymenoptera, Apidae.
UGGACCAGUGUUUGACCAAGUUUGACCAGGUUUGACCAGAUUUGACAAGGUUUGACGAGGUUUGACGAGGUUUGAUUCUUGAAAUGAGAAGGUUUUCGGUUGAUUUCGUGGGAAAAUAGGAAUGGAAGAG